This 253-nucleotide ribosomal RNA is filed under the name uncultured bacterium. Its description in RNAcentral is "partial 16S ribosomal RNA". It matches the Rfam family "Bacterial small subunit ribosomal RNA", at positions 524 to 776 of the family's 1533-position model. The record is from RNAcentral.
UACGGAGGGGGCUAGCGUUGUUCGGAAUUACUGGGCGUAAAGCGCACGUAGGCGGCUUUGUAAGUUAGAGGUGAAAGCCCAGGGCUCAACCCUGGAAUUGCCUUUAAGACUGCAUCGCUUGAACAUCGGAGAGGUAAGUGGAAUUCCGAGUGUAGAGGUGAAAUUCGUAGAUAUUCGGAAGAACACCAGUGGCGAAGGCGACUUACUGGACGAUUGUUGACGCUGAGGUGCGAAAGCCAGGGGAGCGAACGGG